RNAcentral lists this ribosomal RNA (510 nucleotides) under uncultured bacterium. Its description in RNAcentral is "partial 16S ribosomal RNA". It matches the Rfam family "Bacterial small subunit ribosomal RNA", at positions 28 to 507 of the family's 1533-position model. The record is from RNAcentral.
GACGAACGCUGGCGGCGUGCUUAACACAUGCAGGUCGAACGAAGAGCGAUGGAAGCUUGCUUCUAUCAAUCUUAGUGGCGAACGGGUGAGUAACGCGUAAUCAACCUGCCCUUCAGAGGGGGACAACAGUUGGAAACGACUGCUAAUACCGCAUACGAUCUAAUCUCGGCAUCGAGGAUAGAUGAAAGGUGGCCUCUACAUGUAAGCUAUCACUGAAGGAGGGGAUUGCGUCUGAUUAGCUAGUUGGAGGGGUAACGGCCCACCAAGGCGAUGAUCAGUAGCCGGUCUGAGAGGAUGAACGGCCACAUUGGGACUGAGACACGGCCCAGACUCCUACGGGAGGCAGCAGUGGGGAAUCUUCCGCAAUGGACGAAAGUCUGACGGAGCAACGCCGCGUGAGCGAUGACGGCCUUCGGGUUGUAAAGCUCUGUUAAUCGGGACGAAAGGCCUUCUUGCGAAUAGUGAGAAGGAUUGACGGUACUGGAAUAGAAAGCCACGGCUAACUACGUG